This 462-nucleotide ribosomal RNA is filed under the name Enterobacter sp. Its description in RNAcentral is "bacterial SSU rRNA". It matches the Rfam family "Bacterial small subunit ribosomal RNA", at positions 115 to 573 of the family's 1533-position model. Lineage: Bacteria; Pseudomonadati; Pseudomonadota; Gammaproteobacteria; Enterobacterales; Enterobacteriaceae. The record is from RNAcentral.
GUCUGGGAAACUGCCUGAUGGAGGGGGAUAACUACUGGAAACGGUAUCUAAUACCGCAUAANGUCGCAAGACCAAAGAGGGGGACCUUCGGGCCUCUUGCCAUCGGAUGUGCCCAGAUGGGAUUAGCUAGUAGGUGGGGUAACGGCUCACCUAGGCGACGAUCCCUAGCUGGUCUGAGAGGAUGACCAGCCACACUGGAACUGAGACACGGUCCAGACUCCUACGGGAGGCAGCAGUGGGGAAUAUUGCACAAUGGGCGCAAGCCUGAUGCAGCCAUGCCGCGUGUAUGAAGAAGGCCUUCGGGUUGUAAAGUACUUUCAGCGGGGAGGAAGGCGAUAAGGUUAAUAACCUUGUCGAUUGACGUUNCCCGCAGAAGAAGCACCGGCUAACUCCGUGCCAGCAGCCGCGGUAAUACGGAGGGUGCGAGCGUUAAUCGGAAUUACUGGGCGUAAAGCGCACGCA